RNAcentral lists this ribosomal RNA (465 nucleotides) under Vreelandella stevensii. RNAcentral describes it as "partial 16S ribosomal RNA". It matches the Rfam family "Bacterial small subunit ribosomal RNA", at positions 338 to 795 of the family's 1533-position model. Lineage: Bacteria; Pseudomonadati; Pseudomonadota; Gammaproteobacteria; Oceanospirillales; Halomonadaceae. The record is from RNAcentral.
CCUACGGGGGGCAGCAGUGGGGAAUAUUGGACAAUGGGCGAAAGCCUGAUCCAGCCAUGCCGCGUGUGUGAAGAAGGCCUUCGGGUUGUAAAGCACUUUCAGUGGGGAAGAAAGCCUUGGGGCUAAUACCCUCGAGGAAGGACAUCACCCACAGAAGAAGCACCGGCUAACUCCAUGCCAGCAGCCGCGGUAAUACGGAGGGUGCGAGCGUUAAUCGGAAUUACUGGGCGUAAAGCGCGCGUAGGCGGUCUGAUAAGCCGGUUGUGAAAGCCCCGGGCUCAACCUGGGAACGGCAUCCGGAACUGUCAGGCUAGAGUGCAGGAGAGGAAGGUAGAAUUCCCGGUGUAGCGGUGAAAUGCGUAGAGAUCGGGAGGAAUACCAGUGGCGAAGGCGGCCUUCUGGACUGACACUGACGCUGAGGUGCGAAAGCGUGGGUAGCAAACAGGAUUAGAUACCCCAGUAGUC